This is a long non-coding RNA of Carassius gibelio (silver crucian carp), 2397 nucleotides long. RefSeq lists it as uncharacterized. NCBI's taxonomy places the organism in Eukaryota, Metazoa, Chordata, Actinopteri, Cypriniformes, Cyprinidae. The transcript has 3 exons. The record is from RefSeq and is a predicted model, not a curated record.
CGUGACAGUGCCUUGCAUGAAAUGGGCAUCGUUUUCCUCUACUUUUAUAAGCUGACAUUUCUACAUGUCUCAAAGUUAUGCAAAGUCUCAGAACUGACUCUGAAUGCAUGCAGUUCCAGAUUGGUAAACUGAAAUGUUUUUUAUAAUGGCUGCACAUAUUUGGUGAUGUCCCUUAUGACAAUUGUUUAUUAUUAUUAUUAUUAUUAUUGGAAUAGAUAAAUGUAAUGUUUUAUAACUCUAUAUGUGAAAUACUUGCUAGCUCUUAAAAAAACCAUACAGUAAAAUGUUUUCCAUGGAUUUACUCAUAGAUUUUAGAAAACAUUACAUUUCUCUAUGAGCCUCUGAAGUGAAUAUACCCUUUAUCUUUAUAGCCCCCUAAAGCACAAUAUAGGUCCAUAUCUCAUUAAUGUUGCAGUAGACUGGGUUUUAUAUCAAACCAUUAUGUGUGCAUAUAGUAUGGGAUGUCCCUUAUGAGAACUGACCAUUGUUUUUUUCUACUUAUUAGAAAUGGGAUCUUUAAAGCCCGUUAAAGUGUAAUAAUGUCCCAUAUCUCAAAAGUCCUGCAGUAAAAUGGUUUGAUAUGAGGUGUGCAUAUAGUAUGGGACGUCCCUGAUAAGAACUGACCAUUGUUUUUUUCUACUUAUUAGAAAUUACGUCUUUAUAGCCCUCCAAAUCACCAUUUGGACCCAUAUCUCGAAAAUGCUGCAGUAAAAUGGUUUGAUAUGAGGUGUGCAUAUAGUAUGGGAGGUCCCUGAUAAGAAUUGACUAUUCUUUUUUUCUACUUAUUACAAAUGGGAUCUUUAUAGCCAUUUAAAGUGUAAUAAUGUCCCGUAUCUUGAAAAUGCUGCAGUAAAAUGGUUUGAUAUGAGGUGUGCAUAUAGUAUGGGACGUCCCUGAUAAGAACUGACUAUUGUUUUUUUCUACUUAUUAGAAAUGGUGUCUUUAUAGCCCUCUAAAUCAUUGUAUUGUCCCAUAUCUGAAAAAUGCUGCAGUAAAAUGAGAUGUGCAUAUAGUAUGGGACAUCCCAGAUAAGAACUGACUGUUGUUUUUUUCUACUUAUUAGAAAUGGGAUCUUUACAGCCAUUUAAAGUGUAAUAAUGUCCCAUAUCUCGAAAAUGCUGCAGUAAAAUGGUUUGAUAUGAGGUGUGCAUAUAGUAUGGGACAUCCCUGAUAAGAACUGACCAUUGUUUUUUUCUACUUAUUAGAAAUGGGAUCUUUACAGCCAUUUAAAGUGUAAUAAUGUCCCGUAUCUUGAAAAUGCUGCAGUAAAAUGGUUUGAUAUGAGGUGUGCAUAUAGUAUGGGACAUCCCUGAUAAGAACUGACCAUUGUUUUUUUCUACUUAUUAGAAAUGGGAUCUUUACAGCCAUUUAAAGUAUAACAAUGUCCCGUAUCUUGAAAAUGCUGCAGUAAAAUGGUUUGAUAUGAGGUGUGCAUAUAGUAUGGGACGUCCCUGAUAAGAACUGACUAUUGUUUUUUUCUACUUAUUAGAAAUGGUGUCUUUAUAGCCCUCUAAAUCAUUGUAUUGUCCCAUAUCUGAAAAAUGCUGCAGUAAAAUGGUUUGAAAUGAGGUGUGCAUAUAGUAUGGGACAUCCCAGAUAAGAACUGACUGUUGUUUUUUUCUACUUAUUAGAAAUGGGAUCUUUACAGCCAUUUAAAGUGUAAUAAUGUCCCAUAUCUCGAAAAUGCUGCAGUAAAAUGGUUUGAUAAGAGGUGUGCACAUAGUAUGGGAUGUCCAUGAUAAGAACUGACUUUUUUUUUUUUUCUACUUAUUAGAAAUUGGAUCUUUACAGCCCUUUAUAGUGUAAUAAUGUCCCGUAUCUUAAAAAUGCUGCAGUAAAAUGGUUUGAUAUGAGGUGUGCAAAUAGUAUGGGACAUCCCUUAUAGGAACAGACCAUUGUUUUUUUCUACUUAUUAGAAAUGGGAUCUUUACAGCCAUUUAAAGUGUAAUAAUGUCCCAUAUCUCGAAAAUGCUGCAGUAAAAUGGUUUGAUAUGAGGUGUGCAUAUAGUAUGGCAUGUCCUUUAUAAGAACUGACCAUUGUUUUUUUCUACUUAUUAGAAAUUAUGUCUUUAUAGCCCUCCAAAUCACCAUUUGGACCCAUAUCUCAAAAAUGCUGCAGUAAAAUGGUUUGAUAUGAGGUGUGCAUAUAGUAUGGCAUAUCCUUUAUAAGAACUGACCAUUGUUUUUUUCUACUUAUUAGAAAUGGGGUCUUUAUAGCCCUUUAAAGUGUAAUAAUGUCCCAUAUCUCAAAAAUGCUGCAGUAAAAGGGUUUGAUAUGAGGUGUGCAUAUAGUAUGGGAUGUCCUUUAUAAGAACUGACCAUUGUUUUUUUCUACUUAUUAGAAAUGAUGUCUUUAUAGCCCUCCAAAUCACCAUUUGGACCCAUAUCUCAAAAAUG